Molecule: long non-coding RNA, 246 nt
Filed under: Panax ginseng (ginseng)
Lineage: Eukaryota; Viridiplantae; Streptophyta; Magnoliopsida; Apiales; Araliaceae
Description: long non-coding RNA (PGIN_LNC018898)
Source: RNAcentral
UUUACUGGGCUAGUUGAGCUCACCCUUUUGUUCCAUUUUUCUUCUCAGGAGGUGAGAACAUAGCAGGAACUAGUCGGGGUACGGAGUGAUGGUUCUAGAAAGUUGUUUUAGCAGUCCUCACUAUUUUUAAAAUAGUGUAUCAAUAAUUAUAAUGAGGACUCCUUUUGAGUUUUUAUACUCUCUAUUUGUAUUUAAACUCACAGUUUAAUGAAGUUGUAUUUGUUUCUGUACCAUGUAUUUGGCGAC